This 465-nucleotide ribosomal RNA is filed under the name Vreelandella stevensii. RNAcentral describes it as "partial 16S ribosomal RNA". It matches the Rfam family "Bacterial small subunit ribosomal RNA", at positions 338 to 795 of the family's 1533-position model. The record is from RNAcentral. Lineage: Bacteria; Pseudomonadati; Pseudomonadota; Gammaproteobacteria; Oceanospirillales; Halomonadaceae.
CCUACGGGGGGCUGCAGUGGGGAAUAUUGGACAAUGGGGGCAACCCUGAUCCAGCCAUGCCGCGUGUGUGAAGAAGGCCCUCGGGUUGUAAAGCACUUUCAGUGAGGAAGAACGCCUGGUGGUUAAUACCCAUCAGGAAAGACAUCACUCACAGAAGAAGCACCGGCUAACUCCGUGCCAGCAGCCGCGGUAAUACGGAGGGUGCGAGCGUUAAUCGGAAUUACUGGGCGUAAAGCGCGCGUAGGUGGCUUGAUAAGCCGGUUGUGAAAGCCCCGGGCUCAACCUGGGAACGGCAUCCGGAACUGUCAAGCUAGAGUGCAGGAGAGGAAGGUAGAAUUCCCGGUGUAGCGGUGAAAUGCGUAGAGAUCGGGAGGAAUACCAGUGGCGAAGGCGGCCUUCUGGACUGACACUGACACUGAGGUGCGAAAGCGUGGGUAGCAAACAGGAUUAGAUACCCCAGGAGUC